This 328-nucleotide ribosomal RNA is filed under the name uncultured eukaryote. RNAcentral's name for it is "partial 18S ribosomal RNA". It matches the Rfam family "Eukaryotic small subunit ribosomal RNA", at positions 1470 to 1796 of the family's 1831-position model. The record is from RNAcentral.
CCCUUAGAUGUUCUGGGCCACACGCGCGCUACACUGAUACGUUCAGCGAGUAUAUAACCUUGAUUGGAAAAUCUGGGUAAUCUUUUGAAUGCGUAUCGUGCUAGGGAUAGAUUAUUGCAAUUAUUAAUCUUGAACGAGGAAUUCCUAGUAAACGCAAGUCAUCAGCUUGCAUUGAUUACGUCCCUGCCCUUUGUACACACCGCCUGUCGCACAAACCGAUUGAAUGAUUCGGUGAAAGUUUUGGACAUCGAGAGUGGUGAUUAAUUUCGCUGCUCUUAAAUGGAAAGAAUUUAAACCUAAUUAUUUAGAGGAUUGUGAAGUCAUAACA